This 68-nucleotide transfer RNA is filed under the name Bothrops pubescens. Its description in RNAcentral is "tRNA-Ile". The record is from RNAcentral. Lineage: Eukaryota; Metazoa; Chordata; Lepidosauria; Squamata; Viperidae.
AAAAAAGUGCCUGAGAUUCCAAGGACUACCUUGAUAGAGUAGCCACGGGAACCAUUUCCCCACUUCCC